RNAcentral lists this ribosomal RNA (430 nucleotides) under uncultured bacterium. RNAcentral describes it as "bacterial SSU rRNA". It matches the Rfam family "Bacterial small subunit ribosomal RNA", at positions 64 to 493 of the family's 1533-position model. The record is from RNAcentral.
GAACGAGAAUCUGAUGAAGGAGUUUUCGGACAACUGAUUCAGAGGAAAGUGGCGGACGGGUGAGUAACGCGUGAGGAACCUGCCUUGAAGGGGGGGACAACAGUUGGAAACGACUGCUAAUACCGCAUGACGCAUAGGGGUCGCAUGAUUCUUAUGCCAAAGAUUUAUCGCUUCAAGAUGGCCUCGCGUCUGAUUAGCUGGUUGGCGGGGUAACGGCCCACCAAGGCGACGAUCAGUAGCCGGACUGAGAGGUUGAACGGCCACAUUGGGACUGAGAUACGGCCCAGACUCCUACGGGAGGCAGCAGUGGGGAAUAUUGGGCAAUGGGCGCAAGCCUGACCCAGCAACGCCGCGUGAAGGAAGAAGGCUUUCGGGUUGUAAACUUCUUUUAAGAGGGAAGAGCAGAAGACGGUACCUCUAGAAUAAGCCA